UGGCUCUAUUCUGAUCACCGCGCUCUCUAUUAACAAUUUGUAGAACUAACAGUAGUGAGCGAGAAAGGCAAAGGCUACUGACAUCACAAACUUGUUGAAACCUGUCGUUGUUCUUCAAUUCCAUUGUGGUGUGUGCUCCCUUUGUGUCUGUGCUUAAUUUUUACUUAUCAAUUCCUUAUCAAAAACCUAUGAUAUUUCACCUCAAUCAACAUGGUAAACCAGUCGAUCAAGAAACAUAUUCUAGAGUUGAAAAUGGGAACCUGCCAUCUGGAGGAUCUCAUCCAACGACUUCAUGCAAAUAAUGUCUUGGACACAGAGACUAUUAAUUCACUUGCUGCAGCAAGAGAUGAUCAAAAUAAGGUCGAUCAGCUUUAUGAGCAUUUACUGCUCACAUCAGAUGAUAUGACCCCAUUAAUUUUACCAGUUUUGCGGAAUCCGGUAAUGAUCGUCUUCAGGACUUUGUCGAAGCACGUGAAACAGUCGAAUUGGUUGGUGACCUACGUGUUCAUUACCAUGAGACGGACAAAGAUGCAAGGAAAGCAUUCCAUCAUAACAAGAAAAACAAAAAGAGCAUUG
RNAcentral lists this long non-coding RNA (576 nucleotides) under Bemisia tabaci. Its description in RNAcentral is "lncRNA ENSSSA3NGG000198". The record is from RNAcentral. Lineage: Eukaryota; Metazoa; Arthropoda; Insecta; Hemiptera; Aleyrodidae.